GGACGGACCAACGGUGUACCGGUUAUGUCGCCAGACGUACAGCCGGGUAGCUGCGUCCGGAAGGGAUAAACGCUGAAAGCAUCUAAGCGUGAAGCCUGUCUUAAGAUGAAGUAUCUCAUAGUUUACUAGUAAGACCCCUUGAAGAAUACGAGGUAGAUAGGAUACGAGUGGAAGUACGGUAACGUAUGCAGCAUAGUAUUACUAAUCGGUCGAGGUCUUGUCUAU
RNAcentral lists this ribosomal RNA (225 nucleotides) under Selenomonadaceae bacterium. Its description in RNAcentral is "partial 23S ribosomal RNA". It matches the Rfam family "Bacterial large subunit ribosomal RNA", at positions 2699 to 2925 of the family's 2925-position model. The record is from RNAcentral. Lineage: Bacteria; Bacillati; Bacillota; Negativicutes; Selenomonadales; Selenomonadaceae.